This 461-nucleotide ribosomal RNA is filed under the name uncultured bacterium. RNAcentral describes it as "bacterial SSU rRNA". It matches the Rfam family "Bacterial small subunit ribosomal RNA", at positions 29 to 523 of the family's 1533-position model. The record is from RNAcentral.
AACGAACGCUGGCGGCAUGCCUAACACAUGCAAGUCGAACGGGAUCCUGGCUUCGGCCAGGUGAGAGUGGCGGACGGGUGAGUAACGCGUAGGAACCUGCCCAUCGGUCUGGGAUAACUGCGGGAAACUGCAGCUAAUACCGGAUGUACCCGAGAGGGGAAAGAUUUAUCGCCGAUGGAGGGGCCCGCGUCAGAUUAGGUAGUUGGUGAGGUAACGGCUCACCAAGCCUACGAUCUGUAGCUGGUCUGAGAGGAUGAUCAGCCACACUGGGACUGAGAUACGGCCCAGACUCCUACGGGAGGCAGCAGUGGGGAAUAUUGGACAAUGGGGGGCAACCCUGAUCCAAGCAAUGCCGCGUGAGUGAUGAAGGCCUUAGGGUUGUAAAGCUCUUUAGCCGACGAAUAUAAUGACUGUAGUCGGAGAAUAAGCCCCGGCUAACUUCGUGCCAGCAGCCGCGGUAA